RNAcentral lists this ribosomal RNA (119 nucleotides) under Tropilaelaps mercedesae. The record is from RNAcentral. Lineage: Eukaryota; Metazoa; Arthropoda; Arachnida; Mesostigmata; Laelapidae.
GCCAUCGGCCAUAGUACGUUGAACUCGCCGGUUAUUUUCUGAUCACCGAAGCUUAACAACGCUAGGCCCGGGGAGUACUUGGAAGGGGGACCGCGUGCGUACACAAGGUGUUGAUGGCA